This 147-nucleotide unclassified non-coding RNA is filed under the name soil metagenome. RNAcentral describes it as "partial internal transcribed spacer 1". The record is from RNAcentral.
CCGAGUUUACAACUCCCAAACCCCUGUGAACAUACCACUUGUUGCCUCGGCGGAUCAGCCCGCUCCCGGUAAAACGGGACGGCCCGCCAGAGGACCCCUAAACCCUGUUUCUAUAUGUAACUUCUGAGUAGAACCAUAAAUAAAUCA